CUAGUACUCCCUCCGUCUUAAAAUUCUUGUGUUAGGUUUGUCUAAAAAUGAAUGUAUCAAAAUACUAAAAUGUGACUAGAUGUAUUCAUAUCUAAACAAAUUUAAGACGAAAAUUUUGGGAAUGAGAGAGUAUUUU
Molecule: non-coding RNA, 136 nt
Organism: Hordeum vulgare subsp. vulgare (domesticated barley)
Lineage: Eukaryota; Viridiplantae; Streptophyta; Magnoliopsida; Poales; Poaceae
Source: Rfam